Molecule: small nuclear RNA, 105 nt
Organism: Octopus sinensis (East Asian common octopus)
Lineage: Eukaryota; Metazoa; Mollusca; Cephalopoda; Octopoda; Octopodidae
Source: RefSeq, a predicted model, not a curated record
GUACUCUCUUCGGCAGUACAUAUUCUAAAUUUAGAACAACACAGAAUAUCAGCGAGUCCCCUGUUCAAGGGUGACACGCAAAAUCGUGAAGCGUUCCGGGUUUUC